RNAcentral lists this ribosomal RNA (254 nucleotides) under uncultured prokaryote. RNAcentral's name for it is "partial 16S ribosomal RNA". It matches the Rfam family "Bacterial small subunit ribosomal RNA", at positions 524 to 777 of the family's 1533-position model. The record is from RNAcentral.
UACGGAGGAUGCAAGCGUUAUCCGGAUUCAUUGGGUUUAAAGGGUGCGUAGGCGGGCUAUUAAGUCAGUGGUGAGAUCCUGCAGCUUAACUGCAGAACUGCCGUUGAUACUGAUAGUCUUGAGUUUGGUUAAGGUAGGCGGAAUGUGUAAUGUAGCGGUGAAAUGCUUAGAUAUUACACAGAACACCAACUGCGUAGGCAGCUUACUGAGCCGACACUGACGCUGAGGCACGAAAGCGUGGGGAUCAAACAGGA